This 71-nucleotide transfer RNA is filed under the name Loxodonta africana (African savanna elephant). It matches the Rfam family "tRNA". From Rfam's summary of the family: Transfer RNA (tRNA) molecules are approximately 80 nucleotides in length. Their secondary structure includes four short double-helical elements and three loops (D, anti-codon, and T loops). Further hydrogen bonds mediate the characteristic L-shaped molecular structure. tRNAs have two regions of fundamental functional importance: the anti-codon, which is responsible for specific mRNA codon recognition, and the 3' end, to which the tRNAs corresponding amino acid is attached (by aminoacyl-tRNA synthetases). tRNAs cope with the degeneracy of the genetic code in two manners: having more than one tRNA (with a specific anti-codon) for a particular amino acid; and 'wobble' base-pairing, i.e. permitting non-standard base-pairing at the 3rd anti-codon position. The record is from Rfam by way of RNAcentral. Lineage: Eukaryota; Metazoa; Chordata; Mammalia; Proboscidea; Elephantidae.
CCUGGUGGUGUUAACAGUUAAAUACUUGGCUGUGAACCGAAAGGUUGUUGGUUCAAACCCAACCAUCAGCU